AUUGAACGCUGGCGGCAUGCCUUACACAUGCAAGUCGAACGGUAACGGGCCUUCGGGUGCCGACGAGUGGCGAACGGGUGAGUAAUACAUCGGAACGUGCCCGAUCGUGGGGGAUAACGAGGCGAAAGCUUUGCUAAUACCGCAUACGAUCUACGGAUGAAAGCAGGGGACCGCAAGGCCUUGCGCGGACGGAGCGGCCGAUGGCAGAUUAGGUAGUUGGUGGGAUAAAAGCUUACCAAGCCGACGAUCUGUAGCUGGUCUGAGAGGAUGAUCAGCCACACUGGGACUGAGACACGGCCCAGACUCCCACGGGAGGCAGCAGUGGGGAAUUUUGGACAAAGGGCGCAAGCCUGAUCCAGCCAUGCCGCGUGCAGGAUGAAGGCCUUCGGGUUGUAAACUGCUUUUGUACGGAACGAAAAGCCUUCUUUUAAUACAGGAGGGUCAUGACGGUACCGUAAGAAUAAGCACCGGCUAACUACGUG
Molecule: ribosomal RNA, 482 nt
Filed under: uncultured bacterium
Lineage: Bacteria
Description: partial 16S ribosomal RNA
Rfam family: Bacterial small subunit ribosomal RNA
Source: RNAcentral